This is a non-coding RNA of Acanthosepion pharaonis, 100 nucleotides long. The record is from the annotation of a GenBank genome assembly. NCBI's taxonomy places the organism in Eukaryota, Metazoa, Mollusca, Cephalopoda, Sepiida, Sepiidae.
CGUUGAAAAACCGGUUCCCGUAUGACCACCGCAGAUAAGCAACGUUGACUUUGAGCAGUACUUAGAUGGGUGACCGUUUGGGAAGAGCAGAUGCUGUAAG